RNAcentral lists this long non-coding RNA (504 nucleotides) under Gallus gallus (chicken). RNAcentral's name for it is "long non-coding RNA NONGGAT004408". The record is from RNAcentral. Lineage: Eukaryota; Metazoa; Chordata; Aves; Galliformes; Phasianidae.
UGUUUAUGUAUACAUACACACAUUUAACAGCAGGACUGUCAGUACUUACUAAUUUAGUAGUUUGACUCAGCUCGUGCUUUCAUUGGGAUCUAUUUCCUGCAAAUUAAGAACAUAUGUGUUAGUAUGGGAACAUACAAGAAGGUACUUACUUAAACAACAAUAUUUUUAUUUCAGGCUCCUUUGACUUUAACAUACACGAAUACUAAAUGGUGACAUUUCAUACCGUAUGACGCUGAUGACACAAACCCUGCUUCAGGCAAGAGGUGUAUUAUGGGAUGUGCCAAGGGCUGAGGUUCUGGUGUGCGUGUGCAGGGGGCGCUGCAAGCCAAGGUUUCUCGCGAGCUCUGCUCCAUUGCCACCUCCCCGCCCGAAAGGAGGGACGUGAAGAUGCACGCAUGUAAACAUACACAUGUGAGGAUGUAUGUACAUCCACACCCAUAAGGCUUUAUUAUGCAAAUAAAUGGAGUCUUAAGACUUUUGUGUAAGGAAGUAUCUGGAAAAUGC